This 1343-nucleotide ribosomal RNA is filed under the name uncultured bacterium. RNAcentral describes it as "16S ribosomal RNA". It matches the Rfam family "Bacterial small subunit ribosomal RNA", at positions 28 to 1378 of the family's 1533-position model. The record is from RNAcentral.
GACGAACGCUUGCGGCGUGCUUAACACAUGCAAGUCGAACGGAAAGGCCCUGCUUUUGUGGGGUGCUCGAGUGGCGAACGGGUGAGUAACACGUGAGUAACCUGCCCUUGACUUUGGGAUAACUUCAGGAAACUGGGGCUAAUACCGGAUAGGAGCUCCUGCUGCAUGGUGGGGGUUGGAAAGUUUCGGCGGUUGGGGAUGGACUCGCGGCUUAUCAGCUUGUUGGUGGGGUAGUGGCUUACCAAGGCUUUGACGGGUAGCCGGCCUGAGAGGGUGACCGGCCACAUUGGGACUGAGAUACGGCCCAGACUCCUACGGGAGGCAGCAGUGGGGAAUAUUGCACAAUGGGCGGAAGCCUGAUGCAGCAACGCCGCGUGCGGGAUGACGGCCUUCGGGUUGUAAACCGCUUUCGCCUGUGACGAAGCGUGAGUGACGGUAAUGGGUAAAGAAGCACCGGCUAACUACGUGCCAGCAGCCGCGGUGAUACCUAGGGUGCGAGCGUUGUCCGGAUUUAUUGGGCGUAAGGGCUCGUAGGUGGUUGAUCGCGUCGGAAGUGUAAUCUUGGGGCUUAACCCUGAGCGUGCUUUCGAUACGGGUUGACUUGAGGAAGGUAGGGGGAGAAUGGAAUUCCUGGUGGAGCGGUGGAAUGCGCAGAUAUCAGGAGGAACACCAGUGGCGAAGGCGGUUCUCUGGGCCUUUCCUGACGCUGAGGAGCGAAAGCGUGGGGAGCGAACAGGCUUAGAUACCCUGGUAGUCCACGCUGUAAACGGUGGGUACUAGGUGUGGGGUCCAUUCCACGGGUUCCGUGCCGUAGCUAACGCUUUAAGUACCCCGCCUGGGGAGUACGGCCGCAAGGCUAAAACUCAAAGGAAUUGACGGGGCCCCGCACAAGCGGCGGAGCAUGCGGAUUAAUUCGAUGCAACGCGUAGAACCUUACCUGGGUUUGACAUGGAUCGGGAGCGCUCAGAGAUGGGUGUGCCUCUUUUGGGGUCGGUUCACAGGUGGUGCAUGGCUGUCGUCAGCUCGUGUCGUGAGAUGUUGGGUUAAGUCCCGCAACGAGCGCAACCCUUGUUCACUGUUGCCAGCACGUUAUGGUGGGGACUCAGUGGAGACCGCCGGGGUCAACUCGGAGGAAGGUGGGGAUGACGUCAAGUCAUCAUGCCCCUUAUGUCCAGGGCUUCACGCAUGCUACAAUGGCUGGUACAGAGAGUGGCGAGCCUGUGAGGGUGAGCGAAUCUCGGAAAGCCGGUCUCAGUUCGGAUUGGGGUCUGCAACUCGACCUCAUGAAGUCGGAGUCGCUAGUAAUCGCAGAUCAGCAACGCUGCGGUGAAUACGUUCCCGGG